GAUUGAGUUUCGUUGGAUGAUAAAUGGAUGCCACUCCUUUUAAUUACAUACUUAGUAAUUGCUAGUCACUAGUUGAUGUAUUAAGAAAAUAUAUAUUGGCUUAUAUUAUAAUUGAUAUUUGUAAUAGAAAUUUAGGUGAAGACUUGUAUUAUAAAUAUUUUAGAGAUGGACAUGCAUGGAUUUGGAACUAUAUUUUUAUUGGA
This 203-nucleotide long non-coding RNA is filed under the name Elaeis guineensis (African oil palm). RNAcentral describes it as "long non-coding RNA (EGUI_LNC026444)". The record is from RNAcentral. Lineage: Eukaryota; Viridiplantae; Streptophyta; Magnoliopsida; Arecales; Arecaceae.